CCUACGGGUGGCAGCAGUGAGGAAUAUUGGUCAAUGGACGAGAGUCUGAACCAGCCAAGUAGCGUGAAGGAUGACUGCCCUAUGGGUUGUAAACUUCUUUUAUAUGGGAAUAAAAUGUUCCACGUGUGGGAUUUUGUAUGUCCCAUAUGGAUAAGGAUCGGCUAACUCCGUGCCAGCAGCCGCGGUAAUACGGAGGAUCCGAGCGUUAUCCGGAUUUAUUGGGAUUAAAGGGAGCGUAGUGGGAUUGUUAAGUCAGUUGUGAAAGUUGGCGGCUCAACCGUAAAAUUGCAGUUGAAACUGGCAGUCUGGAGGACAGUAGAGGUGGGCGGAAUUCGUGGUGUAGCGGUGAAAUGCGUAGAUAUCACGAAGAACUCCGAUUGCGAAGGCAGCUCACUGGACUGCAACUGACACUGAGGCUCGAAAGUGUGGGUAUCAAACAGGAUUAGAUACCCUGGUAGUC
RNAcentral lists this ribosomal RNA (460 nucleotides) under uncultured bacterium. RNAcentral's name for it is "partial 16S ribosomal RNA". It matches the Rfam family "Bacterial small subunit ribosomal RNA", at positions 338 to 795 of the family's 1533-position model. The record is from RNAcentral.